RNAcentral lists this ribosomal RNA (252 nucleotides) under uncultured bacterium. Its description in RNAcentral is "partial 16S ribosomal RNA". It matches the Rfam family "Bacterial small subunit ribosomal RNA", at positions 524 to 776 of the family's 1533-position model. The record is from RNAcentral.
UACGUAGGGUGCGAGCGUUGUCCGGAAUUACUGGGCGGAAAGGGCGCGUAGGCGGCCGAUCAAGUUAGAUGUGAAAGUCCUGGGCUCAACCUGGGGACUGCAUUUGAUACUGAUUGGCUUGAAUCGGGAGAGGAUAGCGGAAUUCCCAGUGUAGAGGUGAAAUUCGUAGAUAUUGGGAAGAACACCAGUGGCGAAGGCGGCUAUCUGGACCGGUAUUGACGCUGAGGCGCGAAAGCGUGGGGAGCAAACAGG